CCUACGGGAGGCAGCAGUAGGGAAUUUUCGUCAAUGGGCGCAAGCCUGAACGAGCAAUGCCGCGUGAACGAGGAAGGUCUUCGGAUCGUAAAGUUCUGUUGAAGGGGAAAACGAGCGGAGAGAUGAAAUGAACUCCGAUUGAUAUUACCCUUCGAGGAAGUCACGGCUAACUACGUGCCAGCAGCCGCGGUAAUACGGAGGUGGCGAGGGUUAUCCGGAAUGAUUGGGCGUAAAGGGUGCGUAGGCGGCCUGCUAAGUCUGGAGUGAAAGGUACCGGCUCAACCGGUACAGGCUCUGGAAACUGGCGGGCUAGAGAGCAGGAGAGGGCGGUGGAACGCCAUGUGUAGCGGUAAAAUGCGUAGAUAUAUGGAAGAACACCAGUGGCGAAGGCGGCCGCCUGGCCUGUUACUGACGCUGAGGCACGAAAGCGUGGGGAGCAAAUAGGAUUAGAUACCCCAGUAGUC
This 464-nucleotide ribosomal RNA is filed under the name uncultured bacterium. RNAcentral's name for it is "partial 16S ribosomal RNA". It matches the Rfam family "Bacterial small subunit ribosomal RNA", at positions 338 to 795 of the family's 1533-position model. The record is from RNAcentral.